CCGGAUAACCCAGGCUGCCUGAUAGGCGCUAGGAGGCUAUAGUCCCAUGACUUAUUCCACCGGGUACCCACUUUCUGCUGGGUGAACAGAGGCAAUUCUG
Molecule: long non-coding RNA, 100 nt
Organism: Haliotis rubra (blacklip abalone)
Lineage: Eukaryota; Metazoa; Mollusca; Gastropoda; Lepetellida; Haliotidae
Exons: 2
Source: RefSeq, a predicted model, not a curated record